GCCGAGCCAAGUAGCGGUGGCUUGUCACCCGAGCGGGGGCAUUAAGGUGGCGUGGAUGCCUGGUCGUUGCGCUUGGGCCUGGGCCUGUGGAUUGCACUAUGCGGGCCGCCCGUUCCAAGUUGAGUAGUGUGCAUGGGCGCCUGGUCGAAGGCUCGAGCGUCCCUGCACCUGGAGUGGCGGGCACUGCGUGAGGCUGGCUUCACAGAGCAGCGAGUACCGCCCGCUUCCAACGGUGGAAGGAUAACGGGCCGCUGCGACCCUGGCCCGCUUCCGGCCCAAUCGCCCUCCACGGCAAACCACCAUCUUU
Molecule: signal recognition particle RNA, 307 nt
Filed under: Oryza brachyantha (malo sina)
Lineage: Eukaryota; Viridiplantae; Streptophyta; Magnoliopsida; Poales; Poaceae
Description: Plant signal recognition particle RNA
Rfam family: Plant signal recognition particle RNA
Source: Rfam by way of RNAcentral